CCUACGGGAGGCAGCAGUGAGGAAUAUUGGUCAAUGGGCGGAAGCCUGAACCAGCCAAGUCACGUGAGGGAAGAAGGCCCUACGGGUGGUAAACAUCUUUUGCCGGGGAGCAAGUGUGGGGGCGAGUCCCGGCAGCGAGAGUACCUGGAGACAAAGCAUCGGCAAACUCCGUGCCAGCCGCCGCGGUAAUAGGUAGGAUGGGAGCGUUAUCCGGAUUUAUUGGGUUAAAAGGGUGCGUAGGCGGGCUUUCAAGUCAGCGGUAAAAAGUCGGGGCUCAACCCCGGCCGGCCGUUGAAACUGGGGGCCUUGAGUGGGCGAGAAGAAGGCGGAAUGCGUGGUGUAGCGGUGAAAUGCAUAGAUAUCACGCAGAACCCCGAUUGCGAAGGCAGCCUUCCGGCGCCCUACUGACGCUGAGGCACGAAAGCGCGGGGAUCGAACAGGAUUAGAUACCCCUGUAGUC
Molecule: ribosomal RNA, 460 nt
Filed under: uncultured bacterium
Lineage: Bacteria
Description: partial 16S ribosomal RNA
Rfam family: Bacterial small subunit ribosomal RNA
Source: RNAcentral